UCUAGCUCAUGGGUCCUCAAACUCUGGCCACCCCAGAUGUUGCUGAACUACAACUCCCACGAUUCUCUGGCUAUCUAUGUAAUUCAAAGAAUCAUGGGAGUUGUAUUUCAGCAACAUCUGGGGGGGGCGGAGUUUGAGUACCCAUGAUCUAGA
This is a non-coding RNA of Pelobates cultripes (western spadefoot toad), 153 nucleotides long. Lineage: Eukaryota; Metazoa; Chordata; Amphibia; Anura; Pelobatidae. The record is from the annotation of a GenBank genome assembly.